CCCAGGGUUCCUGCUGCUUCAGUCCCAGCUCAGAUCCGCCUCCCAAGGAACCUCUUGUGUCAGACCUGGUGCUGAGACAGCCAAAGCAUCCGGUCCAGCCCAGGCCAGAGCCAGGAAAUCCUUGUGAUCCGGAAAAUUAGAAACGUGGUCAAGGUCAGGACCUGGAACUGAGCAGGCCCUCGGUGGGCUGUCCCAGGGUGGAGACCCAGGGAGAAGGGGAGGCUCAGCCAAGACUUUCACCCGGGGCAACGAGGGGCAGCCAGCCCUACGGGGUCACCUGCAGGGCUCAGUGGCUGCAGUUAUGAUACUGAAAGGAUCAGAGGAGUCAGAGGAGGGGAAGAAACCCCAUAUCUGGCCAGGCGGAGAGCUCACUGGUUCUGGAGCAAAAUCUUUCGGGACAACUGCAACAGGGCUGGGAGAGGUGAGAGCUCAACAACCUCAAUGGAGGCAGAGAAUCUCACAGCAUCACCAGAGGUACAGAGCGGGGAUGGCCUCCAAGCUGACAUCUCUUGGACUCCGCUUCAUUACCAACCUAUACUGAGAGCCCAUUGGAUGGUUCUUUAGAACACGGGAGAUGAUAGUGAAUUAAAGCCCCCCCCCAAGCAUGGGCUGGUAGAUUUCCAGCCAGGCACCUACUUUGCAGUUCAUGUUAUUCUUGUUCACUCAUCUGUUCAAUCCACAAUUUAUGUUCGUGGCCAUGUGUCCCAGGCACUGUACUCUGGGCUGGGCGUGCAAAGUGGGAAAGACGGCCCCUGCCCUCCGGGAACUCUAGGACCCCCGGGCACCCAGGCAGAAGGAGGCGCAAAGGGAAUCGUGGUGGUGUUAUGGGAGCCGCAGGGUUCAUCAGAGAAGUGUGGAGGCUUCUCCCACAGGGGUUCACCCGGGGACUUAACUUGUCUUCCCUCUCCUGGACCGGUUCUUCUCACUCGACCCCUCUGGUUCAGAUUUGACUUCUCUAUCGGGGGCUGCCUCAGCUUCCAGCUCCUCCACGAAGCAUCUCCUCCUCCAGCUCUCAGCUGUCUCUCUCUUCCCAGCAUUUGCACAGCCAUAGUUACCUGUGGCAUCAAAUUAAGUGCUUUAAGUUCCCAGGCUGGCUGCUCUUCAGGCAGGCGUGUGUUUGUGGGAAAGGUGCACUAUUAAUGGCUCUGAGGCUCUGAAGCUCUGUCCAACUAUGGCUUAAAGGCUGGAGUGCAAUGGUGUGAUCUCGGCUCACUGCCAGCCCUGCCUCUCAGGUUCAAGUGAUUCUCCUGCCUCAGCCUCCCAAGUAGCUGGGACUACAGGUGCGUGCCACCACACCCAGCUAAUUUUUGUGUAUUUUUAGUAGAGAUGGAGUUUCACUAUGUUGGCCCGGCUGGUCUCGAACUCCUGACCUCAAGCAAUCUGCCCACCUGCCUUGGCCUCCCAAAGGGCUGGGAUUACAGGCAUAAGCCACCAUGCCCGGCCUACUGUGGAACUUCUUAUAGCCUUUGAUAUGCUGAUAUGACUGCAGGGGGAAAUGUAAUCUGCAGUGUUUCUCAGACUCAUUUGACCAUGAAACCCAGUUUCUGCCAAGCACCUCCUGCAGCUGGCGUUCCACAGAACACUCUUUGAGAAAUAUUGCGGUGCCUGGUCACCCUUAUGUCAUGGGUAAUGUGGAUGAUACACUAAGUUGGAACUUUGGGUGUAGAGCC
Molecule: long non-coding RNA, 1670 nt
Organism: Nomascus leucogenys (northern white-cheeked gibbon)
Lineage: Eukaryota; Metazoa; Chordata; Mammalia; Primates; Hylobatidae
Exons: 3
Source: RefSeq, a predicted model, not a curated record